AGGGAUCAUUACCGAGUUUACAACUCCCAAACCCCUGUGAACAUACCACUUGUUGCCUCGGCGGAUCAGCCCGCUCCCGGUAAAACGGGACGGCCCGCCAGAGGACCCCUAAACUCUGUUUCUAUAUGUAACUUCUGAGUAAAACCAUAAAUAAAUCAAAACUUUCAACAACGGAUCUCUUGGUUCUGGCAUCGAUGAAGAACGCAGCAAAAUGCGAUAAGUAAUGUGAAUUGCAGAAUUCAGUGAAUCAUCGAAUCUUUGAACGCACAUUGCGCCCGCCAGUAUUCUGGCGGGCAUGCCUGUUCGAGCGUCAUUUCAACCCUCAAGCACAGCUUGGUGUUGGGACUCGCGUUAAUUCGCGUUCCUCAAAUUGAUUGGCGGUCACGUCGAGCUUCCAUAGCGUAGUAGUAAAACCCUCGUUACUGGUAAUCGUCGCGGCCACGCCGUUAAACCCCAACUUCUGAAUGUUGACCUCGGAUCAGGUAGGAAUACCCGCUG
Molecule: ribosomal RNA, 498 nt
Filed under: uncultured Fusarium
Lineage: Eukaryota; Fungi; Ascomycota; Sordariomycetes; Hypocreales; Nectriaceae
Description: eukaryotic LSU rRNA
Rfam family: 5.8S ribosomal RNA (bases 160-313)
Source: RNAcentral